ACACAUUCUAGAGCCUAAUUCACUUUAAUUAACAAUUAAAAUUACACUCAAAUCCAAAUUCUGAACUUUAAUGCUAAAGCUCUUCCUAAAAUAAAUUUAUUGUAAUCCAUCACCACUUAAAUAAGCUGCACCUUGAUCUGAUUUUCAAUACAAUUAUAUAUCAAAAUUAUAUAUUUCCAAAAAUAAUUAACAACGACGAUAUACAAGCAAAAUUUAAGUUUUAUUAAUCGUGGAUUAUCGAUUACAGGACAGAUUCCCCUGAUUGGAAUAAAAAACCGCCAAAUUUUUUGAUUUUAAAGAACAUAACUUAUAUUUAUCAGGUCUUAACCCUCUACACCUAGAAUAAUGGGGUAUCUAAUCCCAGUUUAUCCCCUAGGUUUCUCAACCUCAUAAUCAAAAAUUCAAUUAAAUGAAAAAUAAGAUUUCACCCAAUAUUUUCACCAAAAUAAAAAUCAAUUUUUAUUAAUUAAGUAAAUAACCGAAAAAAAAUAGUAGUGCUAUUUGUCUAACCGCA
This 514-nucleotide ribosomal RNA is filed under the name Dematochroma sp. JGZ-59. RNAcentral describes it as "partial 12S ribosomal RNA". Lineage: Eukaryota; Metazoa; Arthropoda; Insecta; Coleoptera; Chrysomelidae. The record is from RNAcentral.